Molecule: long non-coding RNA, 3321 nt
Filed under: Brassica napus (rape)
Lineage: Eukaryota; Viridiplantae; Streptophyta; Magnoliopsida; Brassicales; Brassicaceae
Description: long non-coding RNA (BNAP_LNC000913)
Source: RNAcentral
AGCAGGGUUUAGGGUUAGGUUGGGUUUAAGGUUAGAAAGGGUUUAGGGUUAGGCAGGGUUUAGGGUUAGAAAGGGUUUAGGGUUAAAAAGGGUUUAGGGUUAGGUAGGGUUUAGGGUUAGGUAGGGUUUAAGGUUAGUAGGGUUUAGGGUUAGGUAGGGUUUAGAAUUAGGUAGGGUUUAGGGUUAGGAAGGAUUUAGAAUUAGGCAGGUUUUAGGGUUAGGUAGGGUUUAGGAUUAGUAGGGUUUAGGGUUAGGUAGGGUAGAAUUAGGUAGGGUUUAGGAUUAGUAGGGUUUAGGGUUAGGCAGGUUUUAGGGUUAGGUAGGGUUUACGGUUAGGUAGGGUUUAGGAUUAGUAGGGUUUAGGGUUAGGUAGGGUUUAGAAUUAGGUAGGGUUUAAGGUUAGGCAGGGUUUAAGGUUAGGCAGAGUUUAGGGUUAGGCAGGGUUUAGGGUUAGGUAGGGUUUAGUGUUAGAAAUGGUUUAGGGUUAGAAAGGGUUUAAGGUUAGGUUUAGGCAUGGUUUAGGUUAGCAGGGUUUAGGGUUCGGUUGGGUUUAGGGUUAGAAAGGGUUUAGGGUUAGGUAGAUUUUAGGGUUAGGCAGGGUUUAGGGUUAAAAAGGGUUUAGGGUUAGGUAGGGUUAGGUAGGGUUUAAGGUUAGGUAGGGUUUAGGGUAGGUAGGGUUUAGGGUUAGGUAGAGUUAGCGGUAGGUAAGGUUUAGGGUUAGGCAGGGUUUAGGGUUAGGCAGGGUUUAGUGUUAGAAAUGGUUUAGGGUUAGAAAGGGUUUAAGGUUAGGUUUAGGCAUGGUUUAGGUUAGCAGGGUUUAGGGUUCGGUUGGGUUUAGGGUUAGAAAGGGUUUAGGGUUAGGUAGAUUUUAGGGUUAGGCAGGGUUUAGGGUUCGGCAGGGUUUAGAGGUAGUAGGGUUUAGGGUUAGAAAGGGUUUAAGGUUAGGUAGGGUUUAGGGUAGGUAGGGUUUAGGGUUAGGUAGAGUUAGCGGUAGGUAAGGUUUAGGGUUAGGCAGGGUUUAGGGUUAGGCAGGGUUUAGUGUUAGAAAUGGUUUAGGGUUAGAAAGGGUUUAAGGUUAGGUUUAGGCAUGGUUUAGGUUAGCAGGGUUUAGGGUUCGGUUGGGUUUAGGGUUAGAAAGGGUUUAGGGUUAGGUAGAGUUUAGGGUUAGGCAGGGUUUAGGGUUAAAAAGGGUUUAGGGUUAGGUAGGGUUAGGUAGGGUUUAAGGUUAGGUAGGGUUUAGGGUUAGGUAAGGUUUAGAAUUAGGUAGGGUUUAGGGUUAGGAAGGAUUUAGAAUUAGGCAGGUUUUAGGGUUAGGCAGGUUUUAGGGUUAGGUAGGGUUUAGGGUUAGGUACGGUUUAGGAUUAGUAGGGUUUAGGGUUAGGUAGGGUUUAGAAUUAGGUAGGGUUUAAGGUUAGGCAGGGUUUAAGGUUAGGCAGAGUUUAGGGUUAGGCAGGGUUUAGGGUUAGAAAGGGUUUAGGGUUAGGCAGGGUUUAGGGUUAGAAAGGGUUUAGGGUUAGAUAGGGUUUAGGGUUAGGUAGGGUUUAGGGUUAGGUAGGGUUUAGGGUUAGAAAGGGUUUAAGGUUAGGUAGGGUUUAGGGUAGGUAGUGUUUAGGGUUAGGUAGAGUUAGCGGUAGGUAAGGUUUAGGAUUAGGUAGGGUUUAGAGUUUGGUAGGGUUUAAGGUUAGUAGGGUUUAGGGUUAGGCAAGGUUUAAAAUUAGGUAGGGUUAGGGUUAGGCAGGGUUAAGGGUUAGGCAGGGUUUAGGGUUAGGCAGGGUUUAGGGUUAGAAAGGGUUUAGAGUUAGAAAGGGUUUAGGGUUAGAAAGGGUUUAAGGUUAGGUUUAGGCAUGGUUUAGGUUAGCAGGGUUUAGGGUUCGGUUGGGUUUAGGGUUAGAAAGGGUUUAGGGUUAGGUAGGGUUUAGGGUUAGGCAGGGUUUAGGGUUAGGCAGGGUUUAGGGUUCGGCAGGGUUUAGAGGUAGUAGGGUUUAGGGUUAGAUAGGGUUUUAGGUUAGGCAGGGUUUAGGUUAGGUAGGGUUUAGGGUUAGGCAGGGUUUAGGGUUAGUAGGGUUUAGAAUUAGGUAGGGUUUAGGGUUAGGCACAGUUUAGGGUUAGACAGGGUUUAGGGUUAGUAGGGUUUAGGGUUAGGAAGGGUUUAGGGUUAGGUAGGGUUUAGGGUUAGAAAGGGUUUAGGGUUAGGUAGGGUUUAUGGUAGGUAGGGUUUAGGGUUAGGUAGGGUGAAGGGUAGGUAGGGUUUAGGGUUAGGUAGGGUUUAGGGUUAGUAGGGUUUAGAAUUAGGUAGGAUUUAGGGUUAGGUAGGGUUUAGGGUGAGGUAGGGUUUAGGGUUAGUAGGGUUUAGGGUUAGAAAGGAGGUUUAGGGUUAGGUAGAGUUUAGAAUUAGGUAGGGUUUAGGGUUAGGUAGAGUUUAGAAUUAGGUAGGGUUUAGGGUUAGGUAGAGUUUAGAAUUAGGUAGGGUUUAGGGUUAGGUAGAGUUUAGAAUUAGGUAGGGUUUAGGGUUAGUAUGGUUUAGGUUUAGGUAGGGUUUAGGGCUAGAUAGGAUUUAGGUUUAGAAAGGUUUUAGGGUUAGGUAGGGUUUAGGUUAGGUAGGGUUUAGGGUUAGUAGGGUUUAGGGUUAGGUAGGGUUUAGGGCUAGAUAUGAUCUAGGUUUAGAAAGGUUUUAGGGUUAGGUAGGGUUUAGGUUAGGUAGGGUUUAGGGUUAGUAGGGUUUAGGGUUAGGUAGGGUUUAGGGCUAGAUAUGAUCUAGGUUUAGAAAGGUUUUAGGGUUAGGUAGGGUUUAGGUUAGGUAGGGUUUAGGGUUAGUAGGGUUUAGGGUUAGGUAGGGUUUAGGGCUAGAUAUGAUCUAGGUUUAGAAAGGUUUUAGGGUUAGGUAGGGUUUAGGUUAGGUAGAGUUUAGUGUUAAGUAGGGUUUAGGGUUAGUAGGAUUUAGGGUUAGGUAGGGUUUAGGGUUAGUAUGGUUUAGGGUUAGGUUUUAGGGUUAGGUAAGGUUUAGUGUUAGGUAGGGUUUAGGGUUAAAUAGGGUUUAGGGUUAGGUAGGGUUUACGGUUAGAUAUGCUUAGGUAGUAGGAAGGGUUUAGGGAUUAGGGUUAGGUUUAUGUAGGGUUUAGGGUUAGAUAUGGUUAAGGUCUAGGUUUAGGUAGGGUUUAGGGUUAGGUAGAAUUUAAAGUUUAGGUAGUAGGAAAGGUUUAGCAUUAGUUUAGGUUGGGUUUAGGGUUUGGUUUAGAAUAAUGUUUAGGAUUAUAGGAUUUAAGUUUGUUUAUUUUUUUGUUUAUGCAUUUAAUGCUGAGUCUUUCGGAUAAAGUUUUUUAU